This 253-nucleotide unclassified non-coding RNA is filed under the name uncultured Planctomycetota bacterium. RNAcentral describes it as "uncultured planctomycete contains 16S-23S intergenic spacer region". It matches the Rfam family "Bacterial small subunit ribosomal RNA", at positions 524 to 776 of the family's 1533-position model. Lineage: Bacteria; Pseudomonadati; Planctomycetota. The record is from RNAcentral.
UACGUAUGGUGCAAACGUUGUUCGGAAUCACUGGGCCUAAAGAGCGCGUAGGCGGCUAGGUAAGUCAGGUGUGAAAUCCCUCGGCUCAACCGAGGAACUGCACCUGAUACUGCUCAGCUAGAGUGCAGGAGGGGAGAGUGGAAUUCCUGGUGGAGCGGUGAAAUGCGUAGAUAUCAGGAGGAACGCCAGUGGCGAAAGCGACUCUCUGGCCUGUUACUGACGCUGAGGCGCGAAAGCUAGGGGAGCAAACGGG